AUUGAACGCUGGCGGCAGGCCUAACACAUGCAAGUCGAGCGGAUGAACGGAGGUGGCUGCUGUAUGCAUGGGCGGACGGGGGAGGAAGGCCUAUGAAUCGGCCUGUGAGUAGUGGAGGACGUCAGGAAACGGGAGCUAAUGCUACAUACGUCCUCGAGCUGAAGGUGAGGGAGGGUGGGAGCUCGCGCUAUCGCGUGAGCCUAGGUCGGAUUAGCUAGUUGGUGGGGUAAAGGCCUACCAAGGCGACGAUCCGUAACUGGUCUGAGAGGAUGAUCAGCCACACUGGAACUGAGACACGGUCCAGACUCCUACGGGAGGCAGCAGUGGGGAAUAUUGGACAAUGGGCGAAAGCCUGAUCCAGCCAUGCCGCGUGUGUGAAGAAGGUCUUCGGAUUGUAAAGCACUUUUAGUUGGGAGGAAGGGCAGCAAGCUAAUACCUUGCUGUUUUGACGUUACCCAAAGAAUAAGCACCGGCUAACUUCGUG
This 484-nucleotide ribosomal RNA is filed under the name uncultured bacterium. RNAcentral describes it as "partial 16S ribosomal RNA". It matches the Rfam family "Bacterial small subunit ribosomal RNA", at positions 30 to 507 of the family's 1533-position model. The record is from RNAcentral.